GGUAGUUCUUACAAGCCAAGGGGAGAUGUUAUAGCAGCCGUCAUAUCACAUGAUGGAAGCAACUACCUCCAAUGCUAAGUGGGUGUUUCUUCCUUCUCCCUCCCCCACGUCUCGAUCCAUUUUCCUUCCUCCAACAUUCGGUCACCCCCGUCAUCACGGCUGGAGGACGCAGUGAGAGGCAGAUGCAUUCUCAUCGGUUGCUGGUCUCCACCGCUUCUGUCCUUCUUUCCCUCCUGGGGGUUGGCCUGCUGACUUCCGGCCGGUUGCACACCAGGCCCAGAGGUGGCCAGCUUGCUCGGAUGCCUCACCUAGCUCCUGCAAUGAUGGGGCAAGGGCCAGCCCCACCAUAAAGCCUGUAUACCCCACCACUCAACAUGGUCUGCUGCUCCAGUUGCACGUGGCCUGAAACACGUGUUAGUUGAAGGAGGCAGAGAAGAGAAGGACUUGGAAGAAGGCGGCUGCUCUCUUCCAUCCCAAAGAUGACUGAAUGCGAGUGUCGCUCUGGGACACAGCGAAGUAAUGACAUCAAGCCUGUGCUGCAGUCCCCGGGGGGCUUUGUGGGCAUCUGCUUUGGAGAAUUUGGGGAAUAGGCGGGCUCUGCUCUUUCUGCAAGUGUGGCAUUGCUGGAGGGCAGAAGAAUGAAAGCCUCCCAGCGGCUACUGUGGGGAGAUAGCUCUGGUUGAAGAGCAGGGACCAAGGGGACAGAAGCCCCUGUUCCAGCCCCAGCCCCUUCUACCGCGGUGAAAGGUUUGACCUCUGGCAGCUUGUUUACUCUCUCUUCCACCCAGGGAGGGACCAAAAUAUUGGGGAAAUAGCAAUUCCGAUGUUGUUGGCUGUUUGAACAAAAAGCAACCCAAUUUUUAUUUAAACACCCUGCAAUCCACAGGGUUACGCAAGAUUUUUUAAAAAAUUUAUUUAUUUAUUUUAUUAUUAUUUUUUUUAAUUGGUGGGUCCGUUAAAAUAGGAAACUGGAUUUGUAUUUCUCUAACAAUGCUGCAGAAGGAAAGAAAUUAGUGAGUUGAAAGUCAAACUGUCGUCAAAACAACUCAUGAAAGCGAUGCCUUUGUCAGCUGGUGACCCUAUGACAGGUCUGGUGGGCAUGACCCUGUCCCCUUCCCAGCCCGGCCAGGCCAGGCCAGGCCAGGCCAUGCAGCUGCUAGACUGUGUACCAGCAGGAAUCUGCGGAAACCAGCAGGCAGGGAUGAAUGUAAAUAGAUCCUUGGGGAGGCAGGAGAGACCUUCAUCACCUUAAAGUCCCAGAAACUAUUCCCACACUGUCUGUCACUCCCACGGCAGGAAGAAUGGGAUUUGUUAUUUUUAAAUCUCUUAAAGAAUUUAAAGGCCAAACUCAACUGGGCUCUGGCAUGGAAAUUUCUACCAGGAUAUAUUUCUCAAAGACUCUUUCUCAUUGCAUGCCCAUUUCAAGGUAGCUGAGUUCAUCAGCCUCUGCUGUGCAGUCUUGAACUCGUCUCAUUUUGGAGGUGUUCUGGAAAGAGUUUGACAUUUAAUGGGGGGUAGCUGUGAUCAGAAGGCUUUAGGUCAGAACCCUGGAGUGUGGAAUUGUUUUUUGGUGACUGUUUUGGAGACAAGGUCUAGUAAAAAUCAUUCAUCUUCUUAAAGGCCCAUCUGUUUGGGGGCAGGAACACUUUUCACCUGCAUUGCACACAAUGAUGUCCCAGGUGGCAUGGCAGUCAUGGGACAAGCUGGCUUACAAAAUGCUGAGACUGGGGAGAGAGAGAGAGAGAGAGAGAACACGAGAUCGAGAGCAAGAGAGAGAUGCACACAGGAUUUGAAGUGGUAGAAAGUGCUCUCUACCACACCGCGUAAACCUCAGCGAGAAUUUCUUCAUCUGACUUUCAAAAAGACUGCGGGAAAUGCUUGCUUGGAGGAAUGCGGUGGAGACGUUCGGCAUCUGGACAUUCCUUCCGCGUGAUGGCACACAUCUGGCUCUUUGGAAUGAGCAGAACAUUUCCCUUCCAGUUUCCCUCCAGAUGUCUGAGGAUGUGAGGCUACAGCCCACGAGGUGAGCCAUUUAUCAAGCUUUACUGACUAAUUAAAAGCCAGAGCUGGGCAGAACCCUCGCGGGAUUCUUUAUCCUUAUCGUGCAUGAAUGCGCAGGGUUUUUCACUCCGACGCGCUCCGCAGGACCCACCUUCCAUCAAGCAGACGGUGGACUUUUUUGCGCCCUGCACUUCAGAUGUACGUGCCCGAGAGGCCCAGACUGAAAUGAGCGAUUGGUGCACGAGUGUAAACGGACAUCCUGGCAGACAGAUGGGUGGACGGUUAACUGGCUUCCAUUGAAUCCAAAUGAAGCUAACACCAUUCAAAUUCCGGCCCAGCUAUGUUGUACCCAGCUCAAGGUUGCUGAAAUUGAAUUCAAAAGCCGAAAACACAUGCUGGCCCGGCUCAAGAGCAGCUGCCGAUUGCAAACACAUGGCUUAGCAAUGCAUAAGAUGCUCUGGGGUGACAUUUGGGGUUCCUGAUUAAGUGGGAUAAUCAAAGAAACAUCAUUCAAAACCCUUGCCCUUGCACACAAGCACACAUCCAGAAUAAUUUUUUUUAAAGAAAGCAUUAAGAAAAAACAAAACAAAACAAAACAACAACAACAAAAAACCACUAAGUAAAAUAAAGAUCUCUGAUGAAAAUACUUAGUGGUCCCAAAGAUGGAAACUAAACUUUGAGUUUGAGUUUCACAGAUGGCAGUGGAAAAUGCCGCCUAAAGCAAGAUGCUGUGCAGUUAGGAGAUUUUGAAGCCUUAGGUACAAUUUCUGAAACAAGGGAGGUUAAGAUCCGUGGCCAGGAAGGAUCCAGUACAGGUAUCCUUAUCUGACAGCAAGAGAAAAAAAAAAUCAUGCUGGAGACAUGUCUUUUUCUUCAUCAGUCAAGAGUGCAUGUGGACAAGAGGCUAAGGCCAAACCAAACUCCUGCACUUGGAAUAUACCCACUGGGCUUCGAAGGGGAAAGGGAGGAGGUGGUCGAAGAUAGCCUGUAGGUCUCCUCCAAAAUCCCAGCUUGGAAAUACUUUGUUACGGCAAGUGUCCAUGGAUUAGGGUCUUGUGGGUGAAAUCGGAACAAAGAAGGUGGUCCUGCCAUGUGGAGGAAAUGAAAAUGUGCUGCGCUGAAAUCCUUAUAAAGACUGCUGGCGCUCUGGCAAUUUCACUUUUUAAGUGCAUGUUAUUAAAAGAACCCCCGGCUGUGAGAGGUAGUGCGGGUGGGCAGAGUGUAACCCGGCUCAGCUCCUGGAGGCCGUGCGCUCAGCCUUGCUGCUAACUCCCUGCAACUUUGGGGAUUCACCCCAUCAGCCUAGUUUCUGUUUCUCCUCAUCUUCUCUAGCAGAUUCGCUUUGUGAGAUGAAUUGCUGGCUGGGGCUCUGCGUCUUUCCCCUCUUCCUUUUUUCUUGUCUGUAACCACAUUCCCACGGAAGAAAUCAAUCCGCAGAUCCUCAUUGACGCUUCCCUGAAGCCCUUUGAAAUGUAUUAGCAGUAGGCGAAGUGUGUGUUUGAGGACGGAUGCAUGGGUUACACUGCUGCCUAUAGAUCGCCACCGGGAGAGAAAACUUGUAGACAGAUGUUUCUCUCUACUUUUCUCUUGUGUAGCUUUUCCUGAGGUUUGGUCUGGUUGGAGCAGAGCUGAGCAUCAGGAUGUUCUGAACUCAGGAGGCAAAGAAAUAAAUGCAAGCAGCAAGGAUUUCUCUUGCUCCCACCUCAUCCUGAGUGCCGGGCGGGCCCUGGUGCUGGUGACUGUUGUCUGAAGCAGCAUUUUUGGAAGUGUGCCCCAUCCCAGAAGGCGCCUGUAAGGUGGCCAGGCUCUGGGCUGUACCUGGGUCAUUUCUCAGAGUCACUGUGCCGGUUGGUGGGUCCUGCAGCAGAGGGAAUAGCUGGACAGCAUGUAACUAAGAAUUCUCCAAAUAGACCCUCCAAAACUCUUCCUUUUUGGAAACAUACAUAUAAACUUAUGUGCGUGUGAAGAGUGCAUUUAUACUCUUGCAAGCUAUUAGGAAGGUUGGAAAAGGCCCUCCACCAGGUUAGCAGCCAACAUUGCCCAGAUUUGGAGAAGGAAUGUGGGUGCAGGUUGGGCCCCUGGGGCCAUUCUCAAUCUUGGUUGAUUUCCCGGUGGAAUCUCAACCACUUUUUUUCAUUAGCAUCUCCCUUAGGAGAAAAAUUAGGUUAAAUUAAAAUUCUCCCUAUUGAGGGAGAUGAAAUAUUGAGAAGUAAGCUUUUGAUGGUAGCAUUGAGCUUUGCAGGGCUACAAACAAUUAUGGUAUCUGUGUUCUUUGGCUCCAAAGAAUUAAUUUGUAUCUCCAUAGAGGUGGUGUCUCCUCUCUUGAGAAUUCAUGUCUGGAGGUCCAAGCAAUGGGUUCCAACAAAUUUACCUCGUUUAGAGGGGUUAUACCUGGUGUCUUCUAUUUCUUUUGCUGGGAAAGGUGGGAGUAGGGUAUUGGAGGGAUGGGAAAAAGAGAGGAUGUGCCCAUUGUUGCCAUGGCUUCCAAGCAAAUUAGGAACGAAUUUCCUGGUUCCCGAUAGAGAUAACAGAGAACAAGAAUUAUUCCUGCAUGGAGGGGAUAUGGAAUAGGUUUUAAGAGGAAGGGUUCAAAUUUUAGUUCUACCUAUUGUUGGCUGCCUAACCUUAGGCAAAUUACUUAACCUCCUGGACUUCACUUUCUCAAUCUGUACAUUGGGGAUAAUAUGACCUCAUUGGGUUUUUGUGAAUAUUUAAUGAUAAAAUACAUGAGAUGCGUUAAGGAUAGUGCCUGGGAUCUAGUUAGCUUCUACUGGAGUCCCCAUUUAUUCAUUUUUUUGUAAUUAUUUUUUAACCUGAUUACCUAAUUUCAGGCAUGUCAAGUAGUAAUAAGUAAGUGUUCCUAAGUAACAAUUUUAUAUUUUAGCUUAUUUGGGUGGCGGUGCUGAUUUCUCCUUUAAGGAAUGGUUGAUAGCAGGAAUUCUUGGUUCCUGCCAUUAGUUAUAUUGGAGAGUUAGUUAUAUUGGGGUAACUUUUCUACAAACUCCCAGUUAGGUCAUUUUGUCAGCCAUGAAGUUAUUAGGAACCCAAGUUUCAAAUCUUGGCUCUAUUGCUAAAAACCUGUGCCUCAGUUUCCUCUUCAGUGAAGUGGGAACAAUCAAGCCUCACUCACAACAUUGUGAUUUGAUGAGGUAAUGCAUGUUAGAACAUUCUGAUUUCCUUUCUAGCCCCGAUAGGGACUUGGAUUAUCUAUCAAGCAUCAAUUACCACCACCCUUUCUCUUCUAACAAAACAUGUUAACAAGUGUGUCUAUCUAGUCCCAUUAGAAAACAAGCAGGGGCAGUCCACGUGUCUGCAGUGGCACUGGCCUCACCCCCAAUGAGUAGUCCAAGCUGGUUGGCCCACGGCGCUCCCCUGGGACGCAUGUAGGGAGGCGUGCUGUCUCCUGCCAGAUGCGAACAAAAACACACAAAGUUUGCUCUUCUUUUAACUCUCUGAUGAUUUAUCUCUUAAGUAGAAUUUGGACUUCUGGCUUUGGUCCUCUUUCUGAGGGCCUGAAGAUAUAACCCCAGCUGGUUUAUAUGCUGAAGGUAUAACCCUAGCUGGUUUAUACCAUCCCGUGUGCUCGUGACUCCCACAUAUGUCUCUCCAGGCUGGAGAUCUGUCCUCUGCCCCUACUCCACCCCGGGAGUCACUUCUCAGUCUCUAUCUGAAAAAUGAAACCGUUGUCUUCCCCAGAUCUCCUCUCUUCCUGUAUUUUCACCCUGGCUAAUGGAGCUCAUCACCAAAGUCAGCUGACCCACUAUAGGGUAUGUCCAUGGGACAGAUGCUGCAGAAGACUCUCCCACCUCUGGUAACUCGUCUCUACUGAGUGGGGGUGGGGGGUGAACAACGGAGGUGUUCAGACUAAAAUGCUGAACGUUGAUCUUUCCUUAUAUGUAAGAAUGGUGGUUCCUGGAGAACAAGUCUUCUUCGCUUGGGGAUCUUUCUGGAUUGACAGAAAAAGGAUGGAGUGAAGGAAGGCCACUUUGUCAUCAGUGUAUGGGGUAUUUGGCUUCCUUGAGUGACCUCUGCCCUCAAUGUCCAGAAAGAGGAAAGUUCGGGAACCAGUCCUAUUUUGGCUGUUCCCGCGAGUUUACUUGGAUUAAGGACAGUUAGCAGAUGGAAAUGGUGGAUUUCCAGGAGAGUUCCUGUCCCCAUGGCCUCAUCUGCAGGUCCCCUGGUGGAGCCAUUUCUAAUGGCUUCUGGUGGCACAGAGUUUCCCAGGGUGGCGCUAUGCCUUGGUGCCUUUAUACCAGUUGGUGUCUCUGCUGAAAAUGUUUACUCAUUUGUUCAUCCAUCAACUAGAAAUGGAAAGGUGCCUCAGUGGUCCCAGUCCUAGUUAGAUACCUGAAAGAACUGAAAGAGAGACUCAAACAGAUAUUUACACACCCGUGUUCCUAGCAACAUUAUUCACAACAGUUAAAACAUGGAAGUGACCCAAGUGUCCACAGAUGGAAUGAAUGGAUUAACAGAAUGGGGGAUAUACACCCAAUGGGAAGUUCUUCAGCCUUAAAAAAGAAUGAAAAUUUGAUACACACCAACAUGGAUGAACCUGAAAACAUUACGCUGAAAAGAAGCCAGAUAUGAAAGGAAAAAUAUUGUAUGACUCCACUUACAGGGAAUAUAUAUAGAAUCCGCAAAUUCAGAGAGACAGAAAAUGUGGCGAGGUGGCCAGGGGCUGGCGGAGGGGAGAAUGAAGAGGGAGCUCUUGCAUAAUGGGUACAGAGUUUCUGUUUGGGAUGAUGAAAAGUUUCGAAAACAGUGGUGAUGAUUGCCCAAUACUGUGAAUAUAAUUAAUGCCACUGAAUAGAACACUCAAAAAUGGUUAAAAAGGCAAAUUUGUUAUAUGCAUUUCACCACGACAAGAAAAUAUGUAAAUAGAGAAAUGGCAUUUACCAUGAUGGUUCUUAGAGUAUUUGUAGACCUAUGUGAAUGUCAAGGGCGGGAGACUUGCUUUAUUUAACUGUGUAUCCUCUGAGUCCAGCCAGCAAGAACAAAUGAGAAGCUUGAGACUGGGUCUUAAAAAGCUCAAGAGAGGAGAGGCAGCGACAUCUAAGUACAUCUAAUCUUUUUAUUUUAUUAUUCUGGAACUUAGGUACAGUAUUGAUGGGGUCCCCUUUUUGCUCUAAAAUUGUUCCUUUCUGGGGUGGAAGGGGUGGAAAGAAGGGUUGACUAGGGCUCAGUGAAGUGUCCUCUGGUGACAAUCUUGGGUGAACCUGGAGGCUACAGGGCAUGGUUUAUUGAGGGCACCUGUGGGGGCUGGGCUUGGAAAGCCAAGGGAAGAGGGGUUGGAGAUGCCUUGAUUCUCAACUCAGAGCUUUGAGCUGCAGACGGGAAGGUUCCUGAGCAGGGGAUUGCCCCAGGAGAGUGUGGUUUGAGAGAGGUGGCCUCUGGGGACCAGACACACUCUUCCAAGCAGCCUCCAGCAGCCACACGUGGCCUGGUGGCUUCAGUGUGUGUCUAGGCUCUGCCCGUUGAAAGGUUGUGAUUAUGUUGAUCAGAACUAUCUUUUCCCUGUGGGGGGGAAGGAUGUUUCUUCUUUUGCUUAUUCUUUUUUUUUUUUUUUUCUAAAAAACAAAACAAAAACAAAAACAAGGAAGUCCUCCUCCCCAUGUCCUUCAAAGCGCUGUGGCAUCUUCAGAUCUGGGUACUUGAAAGCUAAAGCUGGUCAUAAUUUCCGACGGACAUAAUGUGCAUUUGAAAUUCUUUUCCACAUCAAAUUAAAUCUGUCUUGGACUGAUUUCCUGGAAGUGUUUUUCAUUAGAAUAAUAGUCCUCAGCUGAGAGAUCAGAUACCACAGAAGGGGAAGCAGGAACGGAACCAUCAAGUGCCUCCUUGAGGAAGACAUCCCGCCAUUAUGUCUGAGGGGCUACUUGGAGGAGACCAUCCCUUCUCUAGGCCUGCCCCCAGGGAAGAGGUGCUAGGUCUGGUGAACCUCCACCUAUUUUAGUGAUAAAAUCUUUUUUUUUUUUUUUUUCAUUCAAAAUAAAAAGAAAAAAAGAAACUAGUUUCCACCAGGAAAUCAUCCACCUACCCAUCCACCCAACCCAAAUCUAUCGCCUACCGACUGGCUGGGUAUCCCUCUGAGAUGCCAGGAAUAUAAUGGUUAGUAAGACAAAGUCCUUGAUAAAAAGAGGAUAGCUCAGAGGAGGAAACCUCAGGGAUCAAGACAAAGCUCCAGUAGUAUUUGAUGACUUUUUUUUUUUCUGGUCUUAAAUAGGUCCUUCUGUGUAAGGCACAUAGGCAUGCUCUGCCUUACCUACAGAGGGUUCCAGAAGGACUAAUGGAGGAAAUCCUUCUGAAAUUCUUUUCUCCUCCUCCUCUCUGAAACAUGACUUGUUUACUGCAGGCUGUUAACGGCCUUGAGAGCGUCUUUAAUCCUUAGCCAGGGUCUUUAAAUAUAAUACAUCAAUAACAGGUAAUUAUUUGCUUUGAACUUUCUGCUCCUUUCCCCCAUACCCUGCGGGGUGAGCUUGGAACUUUUAAGCACUGUAACAGAUUCUUCCUAUCAAAGUGUCAAAACUCAUAAGGCAUAUGUCAAAGAAUUCGUUUGCUUACUUUCAUCUGUCUUCCCUCCUCCCUCCUUUUACUUCUAAGUCUCACCACAGCUUUGCGGAUUCUUGUGCUGAGUGCCCGUUUGCAGCCUCGUGGCUUUUCUCUAAGCCCGGACCACCUCAGACCCUGAAGAAUUUGCCCCCAUGCACCCAGCCUUGUUGCAUUUAAAAGUCUCAGGCGGUUGAGUUUGUUACUCCUGGCCUGUCACGCUAUUCCUGUUUUGAACGUGUCCAGGAAAAUCCUGUCAAAUUCAAAACUUCCUUUUGCCCCAAACCGAUCUUUGAUCUGAGGGGCCUGGACACGACGGACUCUGAGCAGCUUGCUCUGGGCUCCAUGGGGCCCAGGAGCUCUUUUGCAAGCCUUCUGAGGAAACAAAAAAUGGUUUAUUUUUUCUGUCAGCUGGGGUUGAUGAUGGAUGGCCUGGUGGUUCGAUCUUGUGAGCUCCUGGACCAGCCCUGUCCUGAAGACAGCUUCCUCACCAGGGAGUUCCUCCCAUCUUCUUGAGCACUGUCUGUGGGCUGUGGAUCUGUCUGCUCUGUGGAAGCCACAGACACAGCUUCCCAUGGUUUUUUUCUAGCAGGUUCCAGUAGCCAACUGACGGCUCUAACCUUAUUGCUAUAUCAUUGUGUUCAGUGGUGCCAGUUUGGUCCUCUGUUUAAAUAAAAUCAUUAUUGCCCACCCAAGACUCUCUUGUAUGUAUGAAAGGGUUUUCCAGGAACACCUGGGUGGCUCAGUGGGUUAAAGCCUCUGCCUUCAACUCAGGUCAUGAUCCCAGGGUC
This is a long non-coding RNA of Mustela erminea (ermine), 9335 nucleotides long. RefSeq lists it as uncharacterized. The transcript has 3 exons. The record is from RefSeq and is a predicted model, not a curated record. Lineage: Eukaryota; Metazoa; Chordata; Mammalia; Carnivora; Mustelidae.